RNAcentral lists this transfer RNA (71 nucleotides) under Loxodonta africana (African savanna elephant). It matches the Rfam family "tRNA". From Rfam's summary of the family: Transfer RNA (tRNA) molecules are approximately 80 nucleotides in length. Their secondary structure includes four short double-helical elements and three loops (D, anti-codon, and T loops). Further hydrogen bonds mediate the characteristic L-shaped molecular structure. tRNAs have two regions of fundamental functional importance: the anti-codon, which is responsible for specific mRNA codon recognition, and the 3' end, to which the tRNAs corresponding amino acid is attached (by aminoacyl-tRNA synthetases). tRNAs cope with the degeneracy of the genetic code in two manners: having more than one tRNA (with a specific anti-codon) for a particular amino acid; and 'wobble' base-pairing, i.e. permitting non-standard base-pairing at the 3rd anti-codon position. Lineage: Eukaryota; Metazoa; Chordata; Mammalia; Proboscidea; Elephantidae. The record is from Rfam by way of RNAcentral.
GCAGGGGUGGUUCAGCUGUAGAAUUCUCACCUUCCAUGUGGGAGACAAGGGUUUGACUCCCAGCCAGUGCA